Small nuclear RNA from Ursus americanus (American black bear), 107 nucleotides. The record is from Ensembl. Lineage: Eukaryota; Metazoa; Chordata; Mammalia; Carnivora; Ursidae.
GUGCCCUCUUUGGCAGCAGAUAUACUAAAGUUGGGACAGUACAGUGAAGAUUAGCGUGGCCCCGGUGUGGGUAUGACACGCAAAUUCAUGAAGCGUUCCUAUUUUCA